This 767-nucleotide long non-coding RNA is filed under the name Bos taurus (domestic cattle). RNAcentral describes it as "long non-coding RNA NONBTAT025210". The record is from RNAcentral. Lineage: Eukaryota; Metazoa; Chordata; Mammalia; Artiodactyla; Bovidae.
GCAAAGGUCAGCUGACUUAGAGGUAAGAUAAUGUGGUUGAGGUGGAGGCAUCAGCCAGGAACCUUGAAAGGGAAUUGAUAUUAUGGAAGACAUUAUCUUCUACUGUCUAACGAAGAACUCUUAAAGGACUUGCAGAAGCCUAAGUUUAUUGCCUGUACACCUCUUAUUAGCAUUUUGUCUUGAUUCUCAGAGAGUAUGUCCUACAGAAGGUAAAAGAAGAUGAAGUGAUAGUAAUGCUUAUAAUAAUGAAAUGUUAAUGUGCUUGACCUCUGCAGCUACCCAUCAUUAAAUAAUUAAUUUUCUGAACCUGGAUCCAUUUAUUUUCUCAUCUUAGCUUAGGUUGAGGUGUUUAAGAGGAAGAGAGAAAGAAACUUUAAAAAUUGAAGCUGAAAUAAAGUUUGACCAGUCUCACCGACAACCCAUUCAAUGUCAUACAGAAAACAUUGAAUUACACCUUGGACAUUCUUUCUAUAAGGUUAAAUAGAUGAAAGAGUAAUAUACUUCAAAGAAGUAACAAAUAGUGAAUAAACUGAGUUUUGAGGAAAUGUUAUAAUAGAUUUUUUAAAAAGAAUAGAAAUUCUCAGGGAAUCCAUUACUCAAUUUAUGUUAUCCGUUUUUCACCUGAAUGUGGAAAAAAAGUACAGAAUUUUCUUAUUUCUAUGUGGUUAUGAAAGUACGUGAAUCACAUCACAGCUAAAAGAUAUUCUCAUGUACCAGGAGAGCUUUCUGAAGGACUGAAACUUAAUAAUGGAUUCAAAAUUCUUUAA